CAGCCAUUCUCUCUCUGUCCGGAAGGGAAGGUGAGCGAAGAGGUAGUAUCAGCCAUUCUCUCUCUGUCCGGAAGGGAAGGUGAGCGAAGAGGUAGUAUCAGCCAUUCUCUCUCUGUCCGGAAGGGAAGGUGAGCGAAGAGGCGGUAUCAGCCAUUCUCUCUCUGUCCGGAAGGGAAGGCGAGCGAAGAGGUAGUAUCAGCCAUUCUCUCUCUGUCUGGAAGGGAAGGUGAGCGAAGAGGUAGUAUCAGCCAUUCUCUCUCUGUCCGGAAGGGAAGGUGAGUGAAGAGUUAGUAUCAGCCAUUCUCUCUCUGUCCGGAAGGGAAGGUGAGCGAAGAGGUAGUAUCAGCCAUUCUCUCUCUGUCCG
Oncorhynchus tshawytscha (Chinook salmon) is the source of this 364-nucleotide long non-coding RNA. The record is from Ensembl. Lineage: Eukaryota; Metazoa; Chordata; Actinopteri; Salmoniformes; Salmonidae.